This 119-nucleotide ribosomal RNA is filed under the name Pteropus alecto (black flying fox). The record is from RNAcentral. Lineage: Eukaryota; Metazoa; Chordata; Mammalia; Chiroptera; Pteropodidae.
GUCUACGGCCAUGCUACCCUGAACAAGCCCGAUCCUGUCUGAUCUCGGAAGCUAAGCAGGGUCUGGCCUGGUUAGUACUUGGAUGGGAAACCUCCUAGGAAGGCCAAGUACUGUAGGCG